RNAcentral lists this ribosomal RNA (253 nucleotides) under uncultured archaeon. Its description in RNAcentral is "partial 16S ribosomal RNA". It matches the Rfam family "Archaeal small subunit ribosomal RNA", at positions 474 to 727 of the family's 1478-position model. The record is from RNAcentral.
UACCAGCUCCCCGAGUGGUCGGGGCGAUUAUUGGGCCUAAAGCGUCCGUAGCCGGCCUAGUAAGUCUCCUGUUAAAUCCAGCGAUCCAAUCGCUGGACUGCAGGAGAUACUGCUAGGCUAGGGGGCGGGAGAGGCUGGCGGUAUUCCCGAGGGAGGGGCGAAAUCCUGAGAUCUCGGGAGGACCACCAGUGGCGAAGGCGGCCAGCUGGAACGCGCCCGACGGUGAGGGACGAAAGCCAGGGGAGCGAACCGG